UGGGGAAUUUUGGACAAUGGGCGCAAGCCUGAUCCAGCCAUGCCGCGUGCAGGAUGAAGGCCUUCGGGUUGUAAACUGCUUUUGUACGGAACGAAAAAGCUUCUCCUAAUACGCGAGGCCCAUGACGGUACCGUAAGAAUAAGCACCGGCUAACUACGUGCCAGCAGCCGCGGUAAUACGUAUGGUGCGAGCGUUAAUCGGAAUUGCUGGUCGUAACGCGUGCGCAGGCGGGUAUGUAAGACAGAUGUGAAAUCCCCGGGCUCAACCUGGGAACUGCGUUUGUGACUGCAUAACUAGAGUACGGCAGAGGGAGGUUGAAUUCCGCGUGUAGCAGUGAAAUGCGUAGAUAUGCGGAGGAACACCGAUGGCGAAGGCAAUCCCCUGGACCUGUACUGACGCUCAUGCACGAAAGCGUGGGGAGCAAACA
Molecule: ribosomal RNA, 427 nt
Filed under: uncultured bacterium
Lineage: Bacteria
Description: bacterial SSU rRNA
Rfam family: Bacterial small subunit ribosomal RNA
Source: RNAcentral